UACGUAGGGUGCAAGCGUUAAUCGGAAUUACUGGGCGGAAAGCGUGCGCAGGCGGUUCCAUAAGACAGAUGUGAAAUCCCCGGGCUCAACCUGGGAACUGCAUUUGUGACUGUGGGGCUAGAGUACGGUAGAGGGGGAUGGAAUUCCGCGUGUAGCAGUGAAAAGCGUAGAUAUGCGGAGGAACACCAAUGGCGAAGGCAAUUCCCUGGACCUGUACUGACGCUCAUGCACGAAAGCGUGGGGAGCAAACAGG
Molecule: ribosomal RNA, 253 nt
Filed under: uncultured bacterium
Lineage: Bacteria
Description: partial 16S ribosomal RNA
Rfam family: Bacterial small subunit ribosomal RNA
Source: RNAcentral